ACUUGGGUGGCUGGGGCAGAACGAUUCAUUGAGCUCAGGAUUCUGGCUUUUGUGAGUGAUCUAUGCCCACUAGGGACCACACUAACUUUGGCAUCAAUAUGGUAGCUUGUCUGAAGUGCAGGCAACCGGGUUGCCUGUGGAGGAGUAAACUGGUUCAGGUCAGAAGCACAACAUGUCAAAACUCACAGGGCUGUCAGUAGUGGGAUUGCACCUUCUUCACUGCAGCCUGA
Molecule: small RNA, 230 nt
Filed under: Cervus elaphus hippelaphus
Lineage: Eukaryota; Metazoa; Chordata; Mammalia; Artiodactyla; Cervidae
Source: RNAcentral